This is a long non-coding RNA of Gorilla gorilla gorilla (western lowland gorilla), 644 nucleotides long. RefSeq lists it as uncharacterized. The transcript has 5 exons. The record is from RefSeq and is a predicted model, not a curated record. Lineage: Eukaryota; Metazoa; Chordata; Mammalia; Primates; Hominidae.
UUGAGUUAAGCAUUUUAUGAGACCAUGUGGGUACAGUUUGAAUCUACUAAAGAAGGAAAUUGAGCAUUAAGCAUAGCACCUUGCUCUUGCUCCACCGUACCUUCUAAGGGCUCGCAUGCAGAGAAUACCUGUGAUCCAGUGCCAGCUUUCCUCACCGCUUUGCAUAGCCAGCUUACAUUAACUUGAAAGAGAGUUCCAGGUGCAUUCAAGUUCUGCUGAAGAAAUGGAAAUUUGGAAGCUCUAUUAUUAGCUUAGGCCAUUUUCAAAUCACGGAAAUAGUGCUACGAUAGAUCAGUGAUUCUCACAAUUGAGCCUACAUCAGAACCCCCUGGAGAACCUGUGAAAACACAGAUUGCUGGGCCAGCCCCCAGAGUAUCCAACUAGCUCCCCUGCUAAACCAUGAGCUCCUACGAGAAUGGCUAUCUGCUUAGCAAGCUCUGUCCCUGGUGUGUGGCAACCACUAUGUCCACGUGCAAAAUGAAUGAAAACGUGUCCAGUGCACUGUUCCCCUGACACUCCUCAUUCACAUCUUUGCUGUUGCAUGGGACCAUGUCGUUCUUCCCAAGGCCUAUCGAAUACAGAACCUUUAGGAGUGGGACCCAGGAGCUCUGUUAACAAGGCCUCCAGGUGAUUUGGAACACAGG